AGCUUAAUAAUUUAAACAAAAUAUUAAAUUGCAAAUUUAAAAAUAGAAACAUUUCUUUAAGCUU
This 64-nucleotide transfer RNA is filed under the name Dineutus mellyi. RNAcentral describes it as "tRNA-Cys". The record is from RNAcentral. Lineage: Eukaryota; Metazoa; Arthropoda; Insecta; Coleoptera; Gyrinidae.